UGCUAGGAUGCCAGACUGGUGUCACUUGUA
This 30-nucleotide non-coding RNA is filed under the name Rattus norvegicus (Norway rat). Lineage: Eukaryota; Metazoa; Chordata; Mammalia; Rodentia; Muridae. The record is from RNAcentral.